This 222-nucleotide long non-coding RNA is filed under the name Phoenix dactylifera (date palm). RNAcentral's name for it is "long non-coding RNA (PDAC_LNC005059)". The record is from RNAcentral. Lineage: Eukaryota; Viridiplantae; Streptophyta; Magnoliopsida; Arecales; Arecaceae.
UUCUUUUUUUUAGAUAAAUGAUAUAGUUUCAGAGAACAAACUUGAUUGAAUUUUUUUCUCUCUCUCUUUUGCAGCGAUGGCUGUGGAUAGCAGGAAGAGAGCUCUGGAGCUCCUGGGCUAGGUAUGGCCAUUUAUUUAGAUCUUUUUAAGCUAGGUUGGCAUGCAUUUAUUUUUCCUUAGGACUAAUAUGUGAAUAUAAGAUUUGGGUUUACUAGAUGCCGG